Long non-coding RNA from Helicoverpa armigera (cotton bollworm), 598 nucleotides. RefSeq lists it as uncharacterized. The record is from RefSeq and is a predicted model, not a curated record. The transcript is spliced from 3 exons. Lineage: Eukaryota; Metazoa; Arthropoda; Insecta; Lepidoptera; Noctuidae.
AUGAAUAUUCAAUUGUUGUUAUAGAUGCCGAGAAGUCGAACGUUUGGCAAAGCUCUCGUAAACAAGUGCUUUCCAGAAAAAAUGCAUUGGAAAAUAUAAGACGACUUCGAGAAGUGAGUCGCAAUUCUAGUGACAUAAGUGAGGUGCAUUCAGAAGAAACAGAUUGUAGUACUUCCAAUAACAAUGACUUGGAGACAUCUUACACCGCUGUGGAUGAAGAAAAAGUAACCUAUCAGAUUUCAGGAAGAAGGCUUAUUGAAAUGGCUUAUUUUAUGGAGCAAUUACAAGGAAUCAGCAAUCAUAAGUCUAUGUUUAAUUGUAAUUUGAGUACAAUUGAACUAUUGAGUGAAAAAAGGUCUGGGCUUCACUCGACCUUUUCAAUUAAAUGCAAAAUGUGUGGUGCUGAAUUCACGUUAGAAUCAUCCAAAAAAACUGAAAAUAAAAUGGACGUGAAUGAAGAAAUUGUCGCUGGUAUAAUGACGAUUGGUGCUGGGGUUACACAGCUUAAUACUGUUUUGUGUCAUGUAAAUAUGCCACCAAUGUCAGUACGAUUGUACCAAGCUAAGCAUGACAUAAUAAGUCGGUGGUGGAAAAAGGC